GACGGAGGGAUGUAGCGUUAUCCGGAAUUAUUGGCGUAAAGCGUCCGCAGGUGGCUGUUCAAGUCUGCUAGUCCAAAGCGACAGACGGCUUAAACUUCUCGUUAACAGGUCGGGUGGAAACUGAAGGAGCUAGGAGUAUGGAUCAGGGGUAGAGGGAAUUCCCGGAUGUAGCGGUGAAAGUGACAGUGAGAUAAUCGGGGAAGAACACCAGUGGCGAAAGCGCUCUACGUGGGCCAAUAACGUGACAACUGGAGGGACAGAAAGCUAGGGGAGCGAAAGGGA
RNAcentral lists this ribosomal RNA (282 nucleotides) under uncultured bacterium. RNAcentral's name for it is "partial 16S ribosomal RNA". It matches the Rfam family "Bacterial small subunit ribosomal RNA", at positions 524 to 777 of the family's 1533-position model. The record is from RNAcentral.